CAGUAGCCGCGGUAAUACAGAGGGUGCAAGCGUUAAUCGGAAUUACUGGGCGUAAAGCGCGCGUAGGUGGUUUGUUAAGUUGGAUGUGAAAUCCCCGGGCUCAACCUGGGAACUGCAUCCAAAACUGGCAAGCUAGAGUAUGGUAGAGGGUGGUUGAAUUUCCUGUGUAGCGGUGAAAUGCGUAGAUAUAGGAAGGAACACCAGUGGCGAAGGCGACCACCUGGACUGAUACUGACACUGAGGUGCGAAAGCGUGGGGAGCAAACAGGAUUAGAUACCCGUGUAGUCCCUGUCUCUUAUAU
This 301-nucleotide ribosomal RNA is filed under the name uncultured bacterium. RNAcentral's name for it is "partial 16S ribosomal RNA". It matches the Rfam family "Bacterial small subunit ribosomal RNA", at positions 509 to 809 of the family's 1533-position model. The record is from RNAcentral.